UACGUAGGUCCCGAGCGUUGUCCGGAUUUAUUAGGCGUAAAGCGAGCGCAGGUGGUUUAUUAAGUCUGGUGUAAAAGGCAGUGGCUCAACCAUUGUAUGCAUUGGAAACUGGUAGACUUGAGUGCAGGAGAGGAGAGUGGAAUUCCAUGUGUAGCGGUGGAAUGCGUAGAUAUAUGGAGGAACACCGGUGGCGAAAGCGGCUCUCUGGUCUGUAACUGACGCUGAGGCUCGAAAGCGUGGGUAGCGAACAGG
Molecule: ribosomal RNA, 252 nt
Filed under: uncultured bacterium
Lineage: Bacteria
Description: partial 16S ribosomal RNA
Rfam family: Bacterial small subunit ribosomal RNA
Source: RNAcentral